This 473-nucleotide ribosomal RNA is filed under the name uncultured bacterium. Its description in RNAcentral is "bacterial SSU rRNA". It matches the Rfam family "Bacterial small subunit ribosomal RNA", at positions 24 to 518 of the family's 1533-position model. The record is from RNAcentral.
UCAGGACGAACGCUGGCGGCGUGCUUCAUACAUGCAAGUCGAACGAGAAAUUCACUUCGGUGGAUGGAAAGUGGCGGACGGGUGAGUAAUGUGUAGAGAAUCUGCCCUAGAGUGGGGGACAACAGUUGGAAACGACUGCUAAUACCCCAUAUGCGCGUAGUUGAGAUACUAUUCGUGAAAACUCCGGUGCUCUGGGAUGAGUCUGCAUCUGAUUAGCUAGUUGGGGGUGUAAUGGACCACCAAGGCGACGAUCAGUAGCUGGUUUGAGAGGAUGAUCAGCCACAAUGGGACUGAGACACGGCCCAUACUCCUACGGGAGGCAGCAGUAGGGAAUUUUGCGCAAUGGGGGAAACCCUGACGCAGCAACGCCGCGUGACCGAUUAAGCCCUUCGGGGUGUAAAGGUCUGUCAGUGGGGACGAAACCUGACGGUACCCACAGAGGAAGCAUCGGCUAACUCCGUGCCAGCCGCGGC